GUAUUUAUGGGAGAGGGAGGCGUAAAAGAAGAUGCUUCAGCUGCUUUCUAAACAUGUUUGUCGUGGAACAUUAAAAACAUAUGAAAACAGAGCAGUAUAGUGUCCUCAUCAUGCAGCUGCAACAAUGGUCACACCAGGAUCUUGGAGUGUCUAUACUCCCACCCACGUUCCAUACCCCACUGCGCCAUUACUUGGGGUGGAACUGGGGUGGUUUUGAAAGAGGAACAGCAAUUCCCCAAGUAGAAAGUGCUGGAGGGCAAAGUUUGCAGGCAGAGGGGAUGCUGUGCUCAGAAGCUUGAGCAGUGCCUGAUGCUGGUGCACCAAACCGAAGCUGAAGGAGUGGGACAAGAUGCUUUGGCCCCCGUGCAUGCUGGCCCUAAUGCAUCUGUCACACAGCAUGCCCUGUGGCUCCUUUUGGAACUCAGGUCUCCAGGCAAGUCUUCAGCAGAGCCAGAUUAGCGCAGAGCCAGCCCUUUGAGUGCAGGGAGUGAGGAGGCACCGCUAAGAUGGCGGGCCUUGGCUGGGCGUCCGCGGGGCCUUGGUGGGCCUAGAGCGCUAGGGACUGGCACGCACCAGCACUGACGGGCAAAGCGGGCGCAGUCAGGCCCUCCACCCCGCGUCGGCACACGGUCUUAAAUAUUACCCCAGAGUUUUCAAUUAUCUCUCCUUAAUGGAUUUGUAGGGGCUCUUUCAUCAAGCGCGGGGUGGCUGGGUGUGGGGGUGCGGGGAGCCGCGGCGAGGGCUGGAGCUGGGAAAAUGGCCCAUAUUUCAAUAUGAAAGCCCUUUACGAUCGUCAGCAGCAUGAAAGAUGCUGCAAAUUAAACGGAGCCGCCCGCGCCAGCCUCUCCAUCUCGCAAGUUUUAAUUAACGCUGAGGGGGAGGCGGCUGACGGGCGGGUGGGAGCCGGGCCAGCGGCGGAUCUGGGAGCCUGCGGAUCCCAGAUUCCGAACUGGAGCGUCAGGGAUCUCGCGGGCCGGGCCAGGCCAGGCGGAGGCGGAGGGUGGUGGUCUCCGAGCCCGUGGAGAUGGGCAAGGCUGAGGGGUGGGGGACAGGUUGGAAGGUCUCUGAGCAUCUGACCGCGAAACAAAACUCUGCAACUGAAGGCAGGAAGCUUUGUUCUUAAAGAAAUCACAUUCUCCUCUCAUUGUGC
This 1150-nucleotide long non-coding RNA is filed under the name Homo sapiens (human). Its description in RNAcentral is "HSALNT0266214". Lineage: Eukaryota; Metazoa; Chordata; Mammalia; Primates; Hominidae. The record is from RNAcentral.